This 547-nucleotide long non-coding RNA is filed under the name Bos indicus x Bos taurus (hybrid cattle). RNAcentral describes it as "lncRNA (ENSBIXG00000028811.1)". Lineage: Eukaryota; Metazoa; Chordata; Mammalia; Artiodactyla; Bovidae. The record is from RNAcentral.
AGAUACCGGUGGACGAUUCCAGGAUAAUAGCAAAGGGUGGAAGGGCAAAGUUAGGAUGAAAACCCUAUCGAUUUCUGCAAUCUUGGACUCAGAGAAAAGUGUUCAUAAACUGAGGAUUGAUUCUCUGUAGUGACCACUAUUGUAACAGGGAUCAUUGAACGCAUUUUCUCUGUGUUGGGCAUUGUACUUGUUUGUGCUUUCUUGUUUAAUACAGAAUAGGUCUCAUGAAAGCCAGCCACAGUCCCCCAGCGGGCAGGAGAGAGAAAGCUUCGGACUGAGAUCUGAAGGCCUGGCGUGGGGAAGGCCUCUGUCGUCGAGUGCGAGUAAUACGUGAAAAGGACAACAAGACCUUCCAUUCUGUUCGGAAAGGGAUCAUCUCCAAGGGGACCCACAAACACCGCAUAGGCUCUGUAUUUGAUGCAACCUCCUCCCUGACAUCAGGACCAUCUCCACCUUUACCCCCAGUCUUUGCCACAGCCAAUUCCUGGAGAUCAAUUUCCAUGUCAGAAUCUUUUUUAAAAAAUGAUGUAUGGCAAAACCAAUACAA